GGAAAAUCAAGCUAUUUAAAUGUCUAAAUAACUAUUCCAAGCUAUCAAAAAAAAUGUUGUCUUUAUUUUUUUUAUUGUUCCCCUCUCAUUCAGUCCCAAAUCCUUUUCAUUUCAAAACAAAUAAAUCGAAAUAUUAAAUUGCUUCAUAAGACUAUCUAUUUUAUGUCCAAUGAGAGAAAAAAAAUUUAGUUACCGUUUCGCUUCCUCUUCUCCACAGGCAUUGUCAGAAAAUCUGAAUUUAUAUCCGAAAAAACACUCGGCACAACUCUGUCUACGUCAACAAAGGUAAAUUCAAUGUCAAUGUCGCCUACAAAUAUAAAAAGUCAGAACUUCUUUUUUCACAAAAAUUUAAAGAAAGAAAGAGUGAUAAACCGUUAGCAUCCCCUAUUUCAUUUCUUCUUGGUUGGGUUAAUUGGAUUUGAGAUCACUAGAAUCAGUAGACGUAGACAUUUUUUUGUUUUUAAUUUUUACAAAAUCACUGAAAACUCAAAAAAAUUAAUUGUCGAAAAAAUAUAUAGAAAUGUAGCAAUGUGAAAAACUAACAUGUACAAAUCGAAAGUCCACGGGUUUAAAAAAAACGUACCUUCUUCUUUAAAAAAAACCUUCUUUCUCAGACUUCUGUAAACCACUAAACCCAAUACCCACCCUGGUUCGUUCAAAACAGAGUUCAAUAGAACCCAACAAUCGUUCAAAACAUAGUACACUUUGAAGAGUCGAGAAGAACGGUUUAAAUAAAAAAAACCUUCAUACCUUACUCGACAGACGCGACUGCUCGAUCCCUUCAGAAGUUCCGCUAGGGUUUCUCGGAAAGUUUCGUCGAGAGUGAUGGGUGUGAAAUGAGAGAGUUUUGGGUGUUAGUAAAUAUAUAUGUUAAUGUUAGGAAAGUUAGAUUAUUUGAUAGAUAAAUGGAGUGUAGGAAGUAACUCGUAAACCUAUUCUUCCAUUUCUCCUACUCUAUAUCUCUAGCUCGUAAC
RNAcentral lists this long non-coding RNA (974 nucleotides) under Zostera marina. Its description in RNAcentral is "long non-coding RNA (ZMAR_LNC001613)". Lineage: Eukaryota; Viridiplantae; Streptophyta; Magnoliopsida; Alismatales; Zosteraceae. The record is from RNAcentral.